Molecule: ribosomal RNA, 664 nt
Filed under: Inocybe subcarpta
Lineage: Eukaryota; Fungi; Basidiomycota; Agaricomycetes; Agaricales; Inocybaceae
Description: eukaryotic LSU rRNA
Rfam family: Eukaryotic large subunit ribosomal RNA
Source: RNAcentral
UUGACCUCAAAUCAGGUAGGACUACCCGCUGAACUUAAGCAUAUCAAUAAGCGGAGGAAAAGAAACUAACAAGGAUUCCCCUAGUAACUGCGAGUGAAGCGGGAAGAGCUCAAAUUUAAAAUCUGGCGGUUCUUGACCGUCCGAGUUGUAAUCUAGAGAAGUGUUACCCGUGCUGGACCGUGUACAAGUCUCCUGGAAUGGAGCAUCAUAGAGGGUGAGAAUCCCGUCUUUGACAUGGACUGCCUGCACGUCUUGGUGCGCUCUCGAAGAGUCGAGUUGUUUGGGAAUGCAGCUCAAAAUGGGUGGUAAAUGCCAUCUAAAGCUAAAUAUUGGCGAGAGACCGAUAGCGAACAAGUACCGUGAGGGAAAGAUGAAAAGAACUUUGGAAAGAGAGUUAAACAGUACGUGAAAUUGCUGAAAGGGAAACGCUUGAAGUCAGUCGCGUUGGCUAGAAAUCAGCCUUGCUUUUGCUUGGUGUACUUUCUUGUUGACGGGUCAGCAUCAGUUUCGACCGCUGGAUAAGGAUUUUGGGAAUGUGGCAUCCUUGGAUGUGUUAUAGCCCAUUGUCGCAUGCAGUGGUGGGGAUUGAGGAACUCAGCACGCCGCAAGGCCGGGUCUCUGACCACGCUCGUGCUUAGGAUGCUGGCAUAAUGGCUUUAAUCGA